Molecule: unclassified non-coding RNA, 334 nt
Filed under: soil metagenome
Description: partial contains 5.8S ribosomal RNA, internal transcribed spacer 2, and large subunit ribosomal RNA
Rfam family: 5.8S ribosomal RNA (bases 1-120)
Source: RNAcentral
GAUGAAGAACGCAGCGAAAUGCGAUAAGUAGUGUGAAUUGCAGAAUUCAGUGAAUCAUCGAAUCUUUGAACGCACAUUGCGCCCGCCAGUAUUCUGGCGGGCAUGCCUGUUCGAGCGUCAUUUCAACCAUCAAGCCCCGGGCUUGUGUUGGGGACCUGCGGCUGCCGCAGGCCCUGAAAUGCAGUGGCGGGCUCGCUGUCACUCCGAGCGUAGUAGUUACAUCUCGCUCUGGGCGUGCUGCGGGUUCCGGCCGUUAAAAGCCUUAUUUACCCAAGGUUGACCUCGGAUCAGGUAGGAAGACCCGCUGAACUUAAGCAUAUCAAUAAGCGGAGGA